CUACGUGCCAGCAGCCGCGGUAAUACGUAGGGUGCGAGCGUUAAUCGGAAUUACUGGGCGUAAAGCGGGCGCAGACGGUUACUUAAGCAGGAUGUGAAAUCCCCGGGCUCAACCUGGGAACUGCGUUCUGAACUGGGUGACUAGAGUGUGUCAGAGGGAGGUAGAAUUCCACGUGUAGCAGUGAAAUGCGUAGAGAUGUGGAGGAAUACCGAUGGCGAAGGCAGCCUCCUGGGAUAACACUGACGUUCAUGCCCGAAAGCGUGGGUAGCAAACAGGAUUAGAUACCCUGGUAGUCCACGCCCUAAACGAUGUCGAUUAGCUGUUGGGCAGCAUGACUGCUUAGUAGCGAAGCUAACGCGUGAAAUCGACCGCCUGGGGAGUACGGUCGCAAGGUUAAAACUCAAAUGAAUUGACGGGGGCCCGCACAAGCGGUGGAGCAUGUGGUUUAAUUCGACGCAACGCGAGGAACCUUACCAGCGUUUGACAUC
RNAcentral lists this ribosomal RNA (488 nucleotides) under uncultured bacterium. RNAcentral's name for it is "bacterial SSU rRNA". It matches the Rfam family "Bacterial small subunit ribosomal RNA", at positions 501 to 988 of the family's 1533-position model. The record is from RNAcentral.